CAGCACCUCAAGUGGUCAGGAUGAUUAUUGGGCCUAAAGCAUCCGUAGCCGGCGCUGUAAGUUUUCGGUUAAAUCUGUACGCUCAACGUACAGGCUGCCGGGAAUACUGCAGAGCUAGGGAGUGGGAGAGGUAGACGGUACUCGGUAGGAAGGGGUAAAAUCCUUUGAUCUAUUGAUGACCACCUGUGGCGAAGGCGGUCUACAAGAACACGUCCGACGGUGAGGGAUGAAAGCUGGGGGAGCAAACCGGAUUAGAUACCCGAGUAGUCC
This 270-nucleotide ribosomal RNA is filed under the name uncultured archaeon. Its description in RNAcentral is "partial 16S ribosomal RNA". It matches the Rfam family "Archaeal small subunit ribosomal RNA", at positions 477 to 747 of the family's 1478-position model. The record is from RNAcentral.